RNAcentral lists this unclassified non-coding RNA (1658 nucleotides) under Daphnia magna. Its description in RNAcentral is "splicing factor 3B subunit 1-like, transcript variant X1". Lineage: Eukaryota; Metazoa; Arthropoda; Branchiopoda; Diplostraca; Daphniidae. The record is from RNAcentral.
CUAAUUCUGGAAAGAAUCUUAUAGAUUACUAAUUACGGAUAAAAAUGUUCUGUUAACGUUUUCAUUCCAUAGCAUUCCAUUUUUCGGAAUUAUUAAAUUAUUUAAAAAUUGAAAAAAGAAAUAAACGGCAGCCAUAAUUUCAACUUGGUAAAAUAAAAACAAAGCAGACGACUGCGGAUAUUGAUAUGUCUUUCCAAGUUUCCAGCAUGCUUUACAGAAAUUGCAGCUCAAGUUCAGGAAAUCCAGUCAAGGAGCAAGAAAUCUACGGUGAAGUUCAAAGUCGAUUUGAUGGAUAUGUAACUUCAAUUGCCACAACUGAUGAAGUUGAAGGAGAAGAUUAUGAUGGAGCAGUUGCCAUUGGAGGCAGGCAAACUUUCACAGCACCAGCUGCGAUUCUCAAUAAUGUGGCAGGAGAAGACUUUGACCCAUUUGCUGAACAUCGGAGAUCAACUAUUGCUGAUAGAGAAGAUGAAUACAGAGCAAUGCGUUGGAAGUUGAUUAUUUCCCCAGAACGUGUUGAUUCAUUUGCUGAAGACGUUGGAUCUCUCACUUACGCUCACAUUAUUCGUGAAAAACAGUUGCGCGCCGAAGAGCAAGAGGUCCGCCGUAAGCUUACCGACAAAGGAUGGUACAUUAAAAGCUGUAUCAGUACCAUCAAACGGUGAAUCCAGAAGACCCCCAAUAUUUCGACAAGCUAUUGAUUGAUGUUGAUAAAGAUUCAUUGAGCCCAGAAGAGUUAAAGGAACGAAAAAUCAUGACUCUUUUACUUAAAAUCAAGAACGGUACCCCACCUAUGCGUAAAUCUGCAUUGAGACAAAUCACGGAUAAGGCUAGAGAAUUCGGAGCCAUUACUAGACAAAUCUACUCCGUUUGAAGGUUAUCUGCCGAUAGCAAAAGUAGAGAUGAUUCACGGCACGGAAUCAUGUUGGCCAGUGUUAAACUAUUGACAAGGAUUGCUACAAGAUCGCAAAGCGGGACAAUUUGUUUACAUGUUUUGCUUGUGAACUGGAGAGUAUUCCCUCAGCCGCCGUUGAAGCUAAUUCUAUUCCGCUCCAGCAAUCACGACCUAAACGGAACAGAAAACCGAACCCUCGUUACGACCAAAGUUCUCCGAAAAGGCGAAAUGCAGCAGUUAUUCCUUUCUCGGAUUCAGUUACCGCUUCAACUUCUUCAACUACAAACAUAAUUGUCAAUGAAACAUUUACUAUUCAUAGCUCCUCUAACCACUCAGUCGUCCUUGAAGAAGUUGUCCCUCCAAUGCCGUCAAUAAAUAUGGACUUUUCAGAUAUUCCACAGGAAUUACUUGACAUGGCAGUUGCCAAUAUGUCUCUGAAUGACUCUGCAAUUAAUCCUUUUGAUUUUUCUUUUUCUAGAUUAGACACUUCACUUCACCCACCAAGCCCAGUUAGACCAGAAGAUAAUUCCACAGCUAGCAGAUCAUCCUUUGAAUCAGAGAAUGGAGAUACUGUUCAUUCGCCUCGUCACGUUACUCCGGUCCCCAUCAGAGAGAAAAGCCUGAUUUACGAGGAGCCAAUCACACCAGCAAUCCGGGUGAAACACUUUUAUAUUGAAUUUGGGGCUUCGAUAAGGGGAAAGGAUCAGUUGUUGGAUGGAAUAGGUAAUCGAUAUGGGAGAAAAAGGCGAGAAACCCACUAAAA